GGUAGCAGAUUGAUUAGUUAGUUGGUUAAUGAUAACAGCAUAGAAAGAAACACUACAUUAAGUUGAAAGUCAUCAAUUAAUAAGCACUGCAAAAAUGAAUUGCUAUAACAAGUGGAAAACCAGUACAUUAUACACAGGUAAAAAUGAACAUCUAUGCCCUUCAUUUUCAGCUUCUGAUGAUUCUACUUAUUUCUCCUGGUAUGAUGCGUGAAUCAACCGUUGAUAGGACUUGUGGCAUUGACAUGCCUCCCGAGACAACAAUUUCUGAAAAUUUUUAACAAAUUCAAUCAUAUGAUGAAACUAGAGAGGAAUGAAUUAUUAUCAUAACAAUGAUAAUCUGCAAUUUCCAAACAAAUAUCUGGUAUAUUAGAAGUUCAGAUUGGAGUUUCAUCAUCUAGAAACAUGUAAAUAUGAAAAAAAAAUGACUCACCAAUUCCUUCACGAACAGACAGGUUUGGUCUAAUGAUAUCUGUGGUGCUGACGAGAAAUAUAUCACCGAUAUAAAGAUGAUUUGUAGGAACAUAGACACAACAUAACUGCUCAUCUACAGAAUAGUUCUGUAAAAGAAAUAUUAUGAAAAAAAUUAAUCUUCACAUGCAAUGCUGUGUAAAAUCUUUAUAAACACGUCUAAUCAUCAAUGGUUGACCGUAAACUAGUUCCAUUCCGUCAAACUCAAAUCAUUAUAAGCUUAAAACCUUCUUCAUAACAUAAAAUCAGCUCAUGCACAAGUUAAAAAUACAAAACUUAGAAAAACAGUGAGAGCUUCUUGAAAUUAGCUUACGGAGAAAUUCACCCAAAACACCUGUACAAGUUUAAGAUACAUAAUAAUUAAAAGGGCACAUAAAAGAAGCUAGAAUCUAAAUAGAAACCAACAUAAAGGAUCAUGGAUUUCACGAAGGGCACUAAAAAGCAAUUGUAAUCACCUCAGCCAAUGAAAGAGCUCUUAUUCAUAAAUAGAUAGCCAAUAAUGUAAAAUUAUAAUUCUAUUAUUUAUCAAGGCAAGCCAACCAGGAAUUGGUUGGGCAAACUAGGCAUUAUUCAUAAAGUAAGACCAGCGAGCAUGCAUCUCAACCAUACAAUACCACAAAAAUUAUUUACUAAAUUGCUACAUCACCAUCAGAAAAUAACCAAAAUUACAUUAUAAGUAAACAUUAAACAACUAACUAAAUAGUAACAGCAAGGAAUCAUAAUGAGAAUCUGAUUCAAACAUUGAUGCAAGUAAAUGUUCUGAACCUAAAAUCUGCCAAACACCAAAGUUUUAGAGACCUGAAGGGUAACAAACGAUGUGAUGAACCCAAAUGCAUAUUCUCCAAUACGUGGAUGCCGAAUGAUGGCUACUUCUUUGAAUGCUUGUGUAUUUUGAUCUGCAAAAGUAUACACCUUAACAUAAACUGUUCUCAUCCAAUAUUUCAUUCAUACCAUUAUCAAAAUCAAGAGCUAGAUGUUGGCAAACACACACCUGGAGAGAUAGCUGCACUAAUCUGCUUGGAGGCAUUAUAAAUAUGACGAACAAGUGGCAUUCGCUUGAUAAACCACUCCCCAAGACCCAGGACAGAUGCACCCAACCAUGAUGACAUGAAAACCCCAACCAAGAAGAUGAAAGUUAUGGAAGUUAUGAAUCCAAGACCUGACCAAAGAUUAGCCAAUAAUGUCAACAUGUAAACAGUAAAAAUGUUCUAAACAAUAAAAAUAAUUAAAAGUGGUAUUGUUUCUCUAUUGGACAUUUCAACUUUAAAUAGUCCAACCUACUCGGGAAAAAAAUAGAGAAGAUAAAGAAAAAGAAUAUUAUGAAUAUAAAAUCAUUUAAUAUGCGUAAAAAAGAGAAUAAUAAAUAACCAUAAUUUUAACAGCUUUUAGUGAAAAUUUUGAUAUUUAGGAAAGCCCUGCCACGAGACAAACUAAGUUUCAAGCCAAAAAUUGAACUUUGUUAUAAUCUUUACAUAAGAUUAAUUGUCAAAUACCAUAAAACAUGAGCACUUACCAAAAACAUCAAUUCCAAGUUGAGCAUAGAUAGGAGAGAAAAAUCCAUCCACAAAAUGAAUAAACCACCACGUUAUAUAGAAGGUGAUAGCAAUUGGAAAGAGAAUGACACUGCAAAAGAACUAGCAGUGAGAUAUCGCCAAUUAUACAACAAAGAAAUGAAGAACCUUGGGAAUUUGAAAAGGACAAAGAAUGCAAUGAUCCAAACAAAAAGGUGACCAAACAUAAUUUAGUAAUCCAUAUUACAAGAAGAUAGGGUUAUACUGGACAAGAAAACUUCCUCUAGGAGCAAGUAUCCACUAUUAAAUCAUCAUCGAUGACAUAAAUACUAUCCAUUUCUCCACCAUGUUAUCCUUUAAUUUAAAUCAAAGUGAUGAGAUAGCAAUGAGAUUGUUACAUAUUUUUGUCAUACUAUGUUGAUAAUUGUUGUAAAAGAGUGCAGGAUAGUAACUGGUGUCCAGAAACUGAUUUGGAGAUCUAUGGUCUCUAGAUUAUAGAACCUAGAAUUUUCAUUCAAUUAAGAUUUGUUAGUUAAAGAAAAGUAUCAGUUGAACUCUUUGAAUAUUACUAGGAAUAUAUAUUUUCCCCUAGCAUGUUUUGUAACUUUUCGUUUGUAAUGCAACACCAUAAACAACAAGAUGCCAGCAGAAAUAAAAUGCAGACAAAAAAAAUCAAGAAAAAGAAAACGGUCUCAUCUAAGAAUACGAGGUAUGCAAAAGGAAAAUUCAUUCAGGAGGAAACAUAUACAAGAUCACAUGUAAGAGCAUGCAAUACAAAUCAUACAACCAUGUUUAUCAAGAUGUUGGGACAGAAGAACCACGCACCAUCCUGACAUGAACUUUUUUGAUGCCCAGCUUCUAAUGACUUUGGAAAAAGUCUACAAAUGACAGAAUCAACAAAAUAAAAUAGCAAUCUGUCAGACAAAUACUUAAGAAGGCGGAGCAAAUGAAAAAGCGCGAUAACUAUUAUUUGGUAUUCAAACCACAAAAAAAUAAAAAAAAUAAAACAUUCAUUCCCAAAAUAUGCAACUAAAUAAUUUCUUUUUACUUACGUAAAACUAAAUCAUUGCUCCAUUUAUAAUAACUAGCACUAGAUAGCUUCACUUCUUUCAUUGCUAGUUUUGCUACCCCUUUUUAUUUUGAAUACAAUUUGAUUUGAUGAAUCAUGCAUGAUACAAACUCAGAUUAACACCUACUUAAAUCUCCAUCCUAUUGAAGCUACAUACUGCUCUUGACAAAGAAAUUAUUGAUUCCCCAAUCCCUAAAAUGUUAAUCCCAAAAAAAAAUAAAACUCAAUUAAAGUCAAGGAAGAAACUUUCAAGUAAAUCCCAUAACCCAAUACAUUCACAAAAGACCAGAUUGAUCGAAUUGAGAAAGGAAAAAAAAGGAAGCGGAAUGAAUUGUAAUGGUUAAAAUCGAAAACCCAAAUUGAGAGAGGGUGGAUAAAGAGAUCACCUCACGUCCAGCAUGAUGCGGGGAAGACAACGACGAAGAGGACGACGAUGGCAAGGAGGAAGAGGCUGCAGGGCCUUCGACGGCGGCGACGGGGAUGAGAAGCUCUCGAUCUCUGUCCCUAGUGGUGAUGGCCAUGGUGGAUUUUUCAGCGCCCAUGAAACGACGCCGUUUGAGAACUGAACGCGAAACUCAAAACACGAAACGCAAAACCUCUUCUCUGAAAAUUUUUUUCUCUGUUGUGUCCUUUGGAGAGUUCAAAGCCUUCAAUUCACAUUUGGUCUUCACUUUCUUUAUUUCUAUCUUUUUAUUUAUUUGUUUAUAUUUUAUUUUCUUAUAAUAUGAUUUAAUUCUAUCUGUAUUUUUUGAACAUUCCAAUCUGACUUUAUGUAUACGAGUCACACCCAGUUCUAAUCAAGUCUAUUUUAAAUAAUAAUAAUAAUAAUAAUUUUGUCUCAAUUUAUCAUACAUGAAUUUCAUGUCAACAAUGAUUUAAUUUGUUUGGUUAAUGUAUAUAUGUCUAUCUACUAUCCAUUACAAUGAAAAUGUUGUCAUGUGACAUCUUUUUUAGUGUGAUGAUUUGUGUCAUUUUCUGAUUACUAAAAAAGGAAAUAUUAUUUAUCACUAUUCAUUAUAACGUAAAAAAGUUAAAAUUAAAAUAAAUUAAAGGGAUUCAGCCUCCUAGAUAAUGAUAAAUUUAAAUUUCAAAUGUGUGGAUUUUUCAAUAAAAUGAUGAAAAACUACUGAGUGGUAAAAAGUCGUGCAUGUUUGAAUUUCAAAACUGCAUUAAAACCCUAUUAAAUAAUCACUUGAUUACGUUGGAUUUCUAACAAUUGCAUUUAUUUCGGAAUCACUGUGAAAGGAGAAUUGUAGCGUUUCUAGAGAUUCUUCGUAAUUAAUUUGACAAGUACUAAUAUGAGAAAACUUUGCAUUUUCUACCUAUGUCGUUAUCUCAAAAGUAAAAAACAUGAAUAUUAUAGUAAAAAAAAUGUAUGAGAGUGUACGAUGAUAAAUCAAAUUAAUUACCAAAUUGAGUAUACUUAAGGUUAACAAUUGAAACGAUUUAACAUUAGUAAUACAUUAACCGUUUGAUCAAAGAGAUUAAAGUGAACUUUGAUAAAAUUAUAGGACGAUAUUUUGUAACUUGUUUCUUUUUGUGCAGACUCAAUCUUACAGAUAUACUGCAUGAAGUUGUAAGGCAUGAAUGAGAGCUACAAAAUUGAAUUGCUAUAACAAGUGGAGAGAACCAGUACAUUAUACACAGGUAAAAAUCCGAGAAUCCAAGCACAAUAGAAUUUUGUAUGGUUGUCAAAUAAAUGCUAAACUCUACAUUCUUACACAAACCAAUGUUACACAAGCCAUCAGAGUCUCUUUUUCUCAGCAAUCAAUCACGUAAAUUCAAUACUGGCAUCCGCAACACAAUGAUUGCAUUGUCAUUCUGAUGGCUUCAUAUGACACCAAGGAACAGAAACAUCAAUAACUACCCUGCUCUCUUCACUCUCAGCUUCUGUUGAUUCUACUUAUUUCCCCUGGUAUGAUGCGUGAAUCUACCGUUGAUAGGAUCUGUGGCAUUGACAUGCCUCCCGAAACAACAAUUU
RNAcentral lists this long non-coding RNA (5029 nucleotides) under Vigna radiata. RNAcentral's name for it is "long non-coding RNA (VRAD_LNC000176)". Lineage: Eukaryota; Viridiplantae; Streptophyta; Magnoliopsida; Fabales; Fabaceae. The record is from RNAcentral.